Molecule: long non-coding RNA, 1301 nt
Filed under: Amborella trichopoda
Lineage: Eukaryota; Viridiplantae; Streptophyta; Magnoliopsida; Amborellales; Amborellaceae
Description: long non-coding RNA (ATRI_LNC000534)
Source: RNAcentral
CGUGGCUGUGGUAGAGAGCCUGUUUUACAUGAGAGAGUGCUAUGAUAAAGCACUCCUACGUAAUGAGUAGUUUGAUGUGAUCAGAUUCCGCAUCAAAAUGGCCUCUAUUAUAGAGAGCCACUAGAUGCCUUGAGUGUGAUAUGACUUGCCAGACAAUGCUAUAAGUCUGGUGACAUGGCUUCUAGAGAAUCAAAGGCUUCUUCACUGGUGAUUGUGAAGAGAGUAUGAGACACGAGAAAGGCUUGGUAUUUGGUACCAAGGAGGCACGAGUGAUACACUCGACGAGUGGACACAAGGAUGCGAAUUAGAUUGGCGAGCUUGGCUAGCAGGAGCCUUCCAUGGGGCGGGUGGUGGAGCCAACGAGUGUAGCGGUAGCGAAACGAGCCCCGGAGUGCGUUCGUGACUCACUGAUGACGAUGGCUUCACUAGAGGUAGGACGGCUGAGCAGCUCGUUGUGAUGGUUUGAAGGUUGUUGUCCAAGUGGGAGAAUGUUAGAGUCCCUAUGUAUGUACAAAGCCUUCCUUGUAUUGCGGGUCGAAAGAGCCCACCCUCUGAGGUGUAUUUAUUGUGACCUGUGAGUCACCCAAUGAUCAUAGUCGUUCAACUCCUCUUCCGGGGUUUGUGACUGAUCGUCUUGUAUGUCCCCCUUGGAGGUGUGUGAGGUUGUGACCCAAGAGUCAAAACAUGAUCGAAUGUGGCUUUGGGCCACAACACGGUCUAGUAGGACCGUUGUGUGUCAAACUCCUCCUGGUGAACGAUCGCCGCAUAUGAAACUCCGGUGUGAAAGAAAGGGGCGAGCUUGCCUCAACCUGCUUCAGUGUGAGGAGCCCGCCCCGUCGGGGUGAGGGGCGAGCUCCCGGCUCCAGCUCGAUCCGGUGGUCUACCGCACGUCGCCGGUGGGAGUGCCUUUGGCAACUUCUCUAGCAUGAUGUUUGCAACUGCGUUUAAGACUAGCUCGACCGUGUGACAAGUGCCGUAAAAGAGGUCUUGCAGCCCUUCCGCACGCCUCGCUUCAGCUGUCCAGUUCUGUCCUUUCUGUGGUGCGGCACCUGGGGCCUUCUCUCUCGUCCAUGAUGCAUAACGCAUUUUGGGUAGUGGUGCUGCCCGAGCCCCAAGUUGGAAGCCCUCUAGCUAGGGGGACGGCCAUGAAGCUGGUCCUUUCAGACCAGUUUGGUACUUGCACUAAGACUGCCCCGGCAAUGGGUCGUGCCUCCCAGUUCACUUCAUCUGGCUCGGGUCUCGUUCAAGCCUUAAACCCAACUGCCUCAAACCCUUUGUUCUGACAGUCUUAGAGUGACUAC